This 675-nucleotide ribosomal RNA is filed under the name Levilactobacillus namurensis. RNAcentral describes it as "bacterial SSU rRNA". It matches the Rfam family "Bacterial small subunit ribosomal RNA", at positions 55 to 717 of the family's 1533-position model. Lineage: Bacteria; Bacillati; Bacillota; Bacilli; Lactobacillales; Lactobacillaceae. The record is from RNAcentral.
UUGAUUGACGUGCUUGCACUGAUUUCAACAUUGGAACGAGUGGCGAACUGGUGAGUAACACGUGGAAAACCUGCCCAGAAGCAGGGGAUAACACUUGGAAACAGGUGCUAAUACCGUAUAACAACAAAAACCGCAUGGUUUUUGUUUGAAAGGUGGCUUCGGCUAUCACUUCUGGAUGGUUCCGCGGCGCAUUAGCUUGUUGGUGGGGUAACGGCUCACCAAGGCGAUGAUGCGUAGCCGACCUGAGAGGGUAAUCGGCCACAUUGGGACUGAGACACGGCCCAGACUCCUACGGGAGGCAGCAGUAGGGAAUCUUCCACAAUGGACGCAAGUCUGAUGGAGCAAUGCCGCGUGAGUGAAGAAGGGUUUCGGCUCGUAAAACUCUGUUGUUGAAGAAGAACGGGUGUCAGAGUAACUGUUGACAUCGUGACGGUAUUCAACCAGAAAGCCACGGCUAACUACGUGCCAGCAGCCGCGGUAAUACGUAGGUGGCAAGCGUUGUCCGGAUUUAUUGGGCGUAAAGCGAGCGCAGGCGGUUUCUUAAGUCUGAUGUGAAAGCCUUCGGCUUAACCGAAGAAGUGCAUCGGAAACUGGGGAACUUGAGUGCAGAAGAGGACAGUGGAACUCCAUGUGUAGCGGUGGAAUGCGUAGAUAUAUGGAAGAACACCAGUGGCG